AACGAACGCUGGCGGCAUGCCUAACACAUGCGAGUCGAACGAGACCUUCGGGUCUAGUGGCGCACGGGUGCGUAACGCGUGGGAACCUGCCCUUAGGUUCGGAAUAACUCCCCGAAAGGGGUGCUAAUACCGGAUAAUGUCUUCGGACCAAGGAUUUAUCGCCUUUGGAUGGGCCCGCGUUGGAUUAGCUAGUUGGUAGGGUAAAAGCCUACCAAGGCGACGAUCCAUAGCUGGUCUGAGAGGAUGAUCAGCCACACUGGGACUGAGACACGGCCCAGACUCCUACGGGAGGCAGCAGUGGGGAAUAUUGGACAAUGGGCGAAAGCCUGAUCCAGCAAUGCCGCGUGAGUGAUGAAGGCCUUAGGGUUGUAAAGCUCUUUUACCCGGGAUGAUAAUGACAGUACCGGGAGAAUAAGCUCCGGCUAACUCCGUG
RNAcentral lists this ribosomal RNA (433 nucleotides) under uncultured bacterium. RNAcentral describes it as "partial 16S ribosomal RNA". It matches the Rfam family "Bacterial small subunit ribosomal RNA", at positions 29 to 507 of the family's 1533-position model. The record is from RNAcentral.